GAAUCUUGCGCAAUGGCCGAAAGGCUGACGCAGCGACGCCGCGUGUGGGAUGACGGCCUUCGGGUUGUAAACCACUGUUGCCCGGGACGAACACACGGUUGCGACCGUGCUGACGGUACCGGGUGAGGAAGCACCGGCUAACUCCGUGCCAGCAGCCGCGGUAAUACGGAGGGUGCGAGCGUUGUCCGGAAUCACUGGGCGUAAAGGGCGCGUAGGCGGUGGGGUAAGCGUGUGGUGAAAGUCCGGGGCUCAACCCCGGAUCGGCCGUGCGAACUGCUUCACUUGAGCACUGUAGAGGCAGGUGGAAUUCCGGGUGUAGCGGUGGAAUGCGUAGAGAUCCGGAAGAACACCAGUGGCGAAGGCGGCCUGCUGGGCAGUGGCUGACGCUGAGGCGCGACAGCGUGGGGAGCAAACAG
This 416-nucleotide ribosomal RNA is filed under the name uncultured bacterium. RNAcentral describes it as "bacterial SSU rRNA". It matches the Rfam family "Bacterial small subunit ribosomal RNA", at positions 359 to 775 of the family's 1533-position model. The record is from RNAcentral.